GAUGAACGCUCGCGGCAGGCCUAAUACAUGCAAGUCGGACGGGAUCCAUUGAUAGCUUGCUAUCAAUGGUGAGAGUGGCGCACGGGUGCGUAACGCGUGAGCAACCUGCCUCCAUCAGGGGGAUAGCCUCUCGAAAGAGAGAUUAACACCGCAUAAUAUCAACAGUUCGCAUGUUCAGUUGAUUAAAUAUUUAUAGGAUGGAGAUGGGCUCGCGUGACAUUAGCUAGUUGGUAGGGUAACGGCUUACCAAGGCGACGAUGUCUAGGGGCUCUGAGAGGAGAAUCCCCCACACUGGUACUGAGACACGGACCAGACUCCUACGGGAGGCAGCAGUAAGGAAUAUUGGUCGAUGGGCGGAAGCCUGAACCAGCCAUGCCGCGUGCAGGAUGACUGCCCUAUGGGUUGUAAACUGCUUUUGUCCAGGAAUAAACCUAAAUACGAGUAUUUAGCUGAAUGUACUGGAAGAAUAAGGAUCGGCUAACUCCGUG
RNAcentral lists this ribosomal RNA (488 nucleotides) under uncultured bacterium. Its description in RNAcentral is "partial 16S ribosomal RNA". It matches the Rfam family "Bacterial small subunit ribosomal RNA", at positions 28 to 507 of the family's 1533-position model. The record is from RNAcentral.